GAUGAACGCUGGCGGCGUGCCUAAUACAUGCAAGUCGAGCGAACAGAUGAGGAGCUUGCUCCUCUGACGUUAGCGGCGGACGGGGGAGUAACAAGUGGAUCACCUAACUAUUAGACUGGGAUAACUUCGGGAAAACGGAGCUAAUACCGGAUAAUAUAUUGAACCGCAUGGUUCAAUAGUGAAAGACGGUUUUGCUGUCACUUAUAGAUGGAUCCGCGCCGCAUUAGCUAGUUGGUAAGGUAACGGCUUACCAAGGCAACGAUGCGUAGCCGACCUGAGAGGGUGAUCGGCCACACUGGAACUGAGACACGAUCCAGACUCCUACGGGAGGCAGCAGUAGGGAAUCUUCCGCAAUGGGCGAAAGCUUGACGGAGCAACGCCGCGUGAGUGAUGAAGGUCUUCGGAUCGUAAAACUCUGUUAUUAGGGAAGAACAAAUGUGUAAGUAACUAUGCACGUCUUGACGGUACCUAAUCAGAAAGCCACGGCUAACUACGUG
This 497-nucleotide ribosomal RNA is filed under the name uncultured bacterium. Its description in RNAcentral is "partial 16S ribosomal RNA". It matches the Rfam family "Bacterial small subunit ribosomal RNA", at positions 28 to 507 of the family's 1533-position model. The record is from RNAcentral.